This 313-nucleotide long non-coding RNA is filed under the name Lathyrus oleraceus (garden pea). RNAcentral describes it as "Pisum sativum (pea) long non-coding RNA (PSAT_LNC007972)". The record is from RNAcentral. Lineage: Eukaryota; Viridiplantae; Streptophyta; Magnoliopsida; Fabales; Fabaceae.
ACUAUUUUCUCUUCCAAUUACGUUUUUAUCGCACAUUUCUUCUCAAUCCCGCAUCUCAUAUGUUCUUUUUUUCAUCUUCUCUAAUCUCUCAUCUCAUAUGUUUUUUAUGUUUUAUUAUAAUAUCUUUGAUAUUAUUUUAUUUUACUAUUAUAUAUAUGUUUUUUAUUUCAUUUUUGUCUAAUCUAAUUUUGUGUAUAUUACAUGCGAAGUUUUUGUCUAAAUAUGAUAAGUUUUUAUGUUAUUUAAUAAUGUAUGAAUGACUAAAUACAAAGUUACGUUGUUCUCUAUAGGUGUAUGUAUGACUCAAUAAAAA